UGGGGAAUAUUGGACAAUGGGCGAAAGCCUGAUCCAGCAAUGCCGCGUGAGUGAUGAAGGCCUUAGGGUUGUAAAGCUCUUUUACCCGGGAUGAUAAUGACAGUACCGGGAGAAUAAGCUCCGGCUAACUCCGUGCCAGCAGCCGCGGUAAUACGGAGGGAGCUAGCGUUGUUCGGAAUUACUGGGCGUAAAGCGCACGUAGGCGGCUUUGUAAGUUAGAGGUGAAAGCCUGGAGCUUAACUCCAGAACUGCCUUUAAGACUGCAUCGCUUGAAUCCAGGAGAGGUGAGUGGAAUUCCGAGUGUAGAGGUGAAAUUCGUAGAUAUUCGGAAGAACACCAGUGGCGAAGGCGGCUCACUGGACUGGUAUUGACGCUGAGGUGCGAAAGCGUGGGGAGCAAACA
This 402-nucleotide ribosomal RNA is filed under the name uncultured bacterium. Its description in RNAcentral is "bacterial SSU rRNA". It matches the Rfam family "Bacterial small subunit ribosomal RNA", at positions 355 to 774 of the family's 1533-position model. RNAcentral also lists the same sequence under 1 other name. The record is from RNAcentral.